GUGCUCACUUCAGCAGCACAUAUACUAAAAUUGGAAAGAUACAGAGAAGAUUAGCAUGGUCCCUGCACAAGGAUGACACGCAAAGUUGUGAAGCAUUCCAUAUUUUU
Molecule: small nuclear RNA, 107 nt
Filed under: Meriones unguiculatus (Mongolian gerbil)
Lineage: Eukaryota; Metazoa; Chordata; Mammalia; Rodentia; Muridae
Source: RNAcentral